AUUCGCAUAGACCCACCCUGGGAGUCGGAUGUCAAGUAUGAGUUUAAGAGUGAAUGUUUUUUGAAUUUGUCAGAGUUGAGAUAUUUUGAUGCAGAUCCAACAAUAUUGCUGACCGGAGAUUUCAAUAAUCUUCUCCCGAAUUUAAAGUGGCUUCAGUUGCACGAGUACAGAGAUGAAGAGAAUGAUCCUCCUUUGACCAAUUUUACUAUGAAACUCCUUCGACCAUUUUUCCUAUGAAAAAAUUGGUAAUUCUUGAUUUGGGCAAUACCAGAAAAGAGUGGAGCCAUAUGAUGAAGGUGUGUGUUUAUUGCAGCUGUCACUCGUCAGUUAUAUAUUCGUCUUUGUUCUUCAUGUUUUUGUUUUAACUAUGCCUUAAUCUGGUUCUACAUAGAUGGCUCCCAGGCUGAAAGUUGUACGACUUUAUUCCCACUAUGGGUUCUCCGAAAGACUUUCUUUCUGUUGGCGCUUCCCCAAAAGCAUUGAGGUAUUAUCCAUGAAUUCUAUGAGAAUUGAAGAACUUGAUAUUGGGGAGUUAAAGAAGCUAAAGACGUUGGAUCUGAGCUACUGUACAAUACAAAAGAUAAGUGGGGGAACCUUUGGUGUGUUGAAGGGACUCAUAGAGCUUGAACUCAUCGACUUCAAGUGUACAAAUUUGAGAGAGGUAGUGGCCGGUAUUGGUCAAAUUUUAAAUUUGAGAGAAGUAGUUGCCGAUAUUUGUCAGCUGUCGUCUCUCAAAAUUUUGAAAAUAGAGAGCGUUAAGGAGGUCGAGAUUAAUGAAUUUCCAUUAGG
Molecule: long non-coding RNA, 789 nt
Filed under: Linum usitatissimum (flax)
Lineage: Eukaryota; Viridiplantae; Streptophyta; Magnoliopsida; Malpighiales; Linaceae
Description: long non-coding RNA (LUSI_LNC006160)
Source: RNAcentral